Molecule: small RNA, 94 nt
Filed under: Citrobacter sp. Cf084
Lineage: Bacteria; Pseudomonadati; Pseudomonadota; Gammaproteobacteria; Enterobacterales; Enterobacteriaceae
Description: partial RtT sRNA
Rfam family: RtT RNA
About the family: This family represents a bacterial cis-regulatory element known as RtT RNA. The exact function of RtT is unknown although it is thought that it may be involved in changing the cellular response in relation to amino acid starvation.
Source: RNAcentral
AAUUCUUCCUAUUCGGGAAGGAUGAGAAGCUUCGACCAAGGUUCGAUUCGAGCGUUAGCGAGAAAGCGUUGCCGCAGGCAACGACCCGAAGGGC